CCGCGUGUGGGACGAAGGCCUUCGGGUCGUAAACCACUGUCAGUGGGAAAGAUGGGUGUCGGCGCUAAUACCGCUGGCAUCUGACGGUACCUGCAGAGGAAGCCCCGGCCAACUCUGUGCCAGCAGCCGCGGUAAGACAGAGGGGGCAAGCGUUGCUCGGAAUUACUGGGCGUAAAGGGCGCGUAGGCGGGAUGGCAAGUCGGUCGUGAAAUCCCUCGGCUCAACCGAGGAACGUCGAUCGAUACUGCUGUUCUUGAGGAUUGCAGAGGAGACUGGAAUUCCCGGUGUAGCGGUGAAAUGUGUAGAGAUCGGGAGGAACACCGGUGGCGAAGGCGGGUCUCUGGGCAAUUCCUGACGCUGAGGCGCGAAAGCGUGGGGAGCAAACGGGAUUAGAUACCCCGGUAGUCCACGCUGUAAACGAUGAGCACUAGGUGUGGGGGGGUUCAGUCCCUUCCGUGCCGCAGCUAACGCAUUAAGUGCUCCGCCUGGGGAGUACGGCCGCAAGGUUG
Molecule: ribosomal RNA, 509 nt
Filed under: uncultured bacterium
Lineage: Bacteria
Description: bacterial SSU rRNA
Rfam family: Bacterial small subunit ribosomal RNA
Source: RNAcentral